Long non-coding RNA from Oncorhynchus kisutch (coho salmon), 1406 nucleotides. RefSeq lists it as uncharacterized. Lineage: Eukaryota; Metazoa; Chordata; Actinopteri; Salmoniformes; Salmonidae. The transcript has 3 exons. The record is from RefSeq and is a predicted model, not a curated record.
CUUGUCAGCUCAGGAUUCAAUCUUGCAACCUUUCGGUUACUAGUCCGAUGCUCUAACCAGUAGGCUACCUGCCGACCCAGGUUAGCAUUUGCGUCCCUCGCAUUUGCAACAAUGAAAAACUGUUGUUACACAUCAUCCAUGUUUUUUUUGCUUAUAAUGAACUGUUUAUCAAUGAUGAAACAUAAUGCAAGUCAUUUAUAGCGCAAAAUCCAUAUUUUGUAGGCCAAGGCUGCAGUUCCGAAGGUAACCACCCUGUCCCGCCCCUGUCAGCUCCCCUGGAAACCUCUUCCCCUGAGCUGAAGAUCCAAAUCAUGUGUUUCUUCACCUUUACUUUACACACCAAUAUUUGUGGUCACCCUCCCCUUACAUUUCAUGAAGGGAGGGUGACCUGUGAAAUGUCAAUGCGGCAUCUGGAUGCCAACCAUUUGAUCUCAAUCAAUUUCAUGGGAAGACACAUUUGAAUUAUGUACAGUGUUGUUUCGAAGUUCAGUGUUUUAUUUGAAUUAUGUACAGGGAGCGAAUUUUAGAGCAGAUGGUGUUUUGCCUAGUGGCGCGCUGUUGAGCUUUGACCACAUGAGAGAUUUGCUACCAUUCUCACAAUCAUCCUACAUCUCAUAAGAAAUUAGGUGGUGUUUUUUGUCUUGCAGUGACAUUAUACCAUGCUAUUAUUUUCAGUUCUGUUAUAUAGAAUACUAUCAUUAUGUGAUCUUGCUGACACAAAUUCAGUCUUGAUUUAACUUAAAGAAGCAUCAUUCUCCAUUUCUAACAGAAAUUUGCCAAAGUAGCCUUUUCUUCGGGCUACUAAACUAGUAAAGCAGAGACUGUGCGUAAAGGAGAGAAUCCCACACAUGAGCAGAAGCUUUGGAUUUAGUUGUCGGGAAAUGGUUCUAGAGAAUUCGGAUAUGCAGCCACUCUGUAUUUUGAAACUUCUCUUAAUGGUCUCAAGGGUAUAAUCCUUGAUUCUGUUUCAUUUCCCCCCCCCAGCUAAACGGCAGCUCUGCUUUUUGGUUUGCUAAAAAGCUGCUGAAGGACGUGACUGAAGAAAUGUAAUAACCCCCAUCACGUACGCUUUGGAAGCAAAGUACAGGCCCUAUCUUGAGGGUAACUAAGGAAUAAACUAUGUGGAUGGAAGCCAUCGCAGCCUUGAAAUGUUUUCAAACAUCUGGUCGGACAACAAGGCCAGCAUCGUGUUCACUAGGCACCGGAUGGAACACAAUGGACUGAAACAGGGAGGGAUUUCCUGGCCUUGCCCCAGGAAAUUCCAGACUGACCUGGAAUUUGAAUUGAAUUAAAUGGAAUGUACAGGGAGCGAGAACUGAAUGAAAAUGCAAUUUGUGGAAUUGACACCAACCCUUGUACAGUGUGAUACUUUAUCCUCAACUGCAAUUAAAACAAAAUGUAAUUGA